This is a long non-coding RNA of Oncorhynchus tshawytscha (Chinook salmon), 1942 nucleotides long. Lineage: Eukaryota; Metazoa; Chordata; Actinopteri; Salmoniformes; Salmonidae. The record is from Ensembl.
CUGCGCUAGAUAUGAGUCUGAAAACGUACCUCCAUGCAGGGGAUGGGAUAUGUCCCUGUACUCCAACAUGAGGACUACAGUGGCAUAUCACAUCCCAUGCAUGGAGGUACAUUUUCCCGAACCAUAUCUCACCUGGCUCCAAAGUGAAUGUAACGAUGACUUUAUUCCGACCCCAGUGCAGCUCAGUGUAAACAAGCUCAUGGUAGUCAGUAUAUUCUAGCAACUAUAUGGAUGGAACAAGACAAAACUACCUACACAGAGUCGGUCUAUGACUGAUCUAUGAACUAAAAUGAAUAACCAACAUCCACUGUCACAAAGUGCUGUCCAGAAAGGCCCCCCGCUACUUGGAAACGGGGACGACUCUUUGAAGAGUCAGAAGCAGAGGAAUCAAGAGGACGGUUGUCGUGUCCUUGGCGGUAGAAAGGCGAACUGAAAGUGAAAUAGUGAACCAGCCUAACAAGGAAGCCAGACAUUGAACCGUUUUGUAGCCACUUCUCUAGUUGCAAUUUCAUUGAUUUGUGAUAUCGCAGCCGGACGUUUCUGCAAACACCUCGUUAGUAUGUAACUAGUUAGCGGACACUGGACGUGUUGUAUAUGUUUGCUUGCCAGAUAUCUAACGUUACUGUUACCUUUUGACAUUGUGUUAUUAAAGUCAGUCGAUAGAUACUAAAACUAGGUGUAAUAAUCUUCCACAACCAUGGAAUAUAUGACAGCCGUCCAGAAGAAGAGACGCCACGAAGGAGACCUUCAAACCCGGAAAGAUUGCCAAGCGAAACGACUGUGCAACGGAGUGGGAGUCUGCGUCCGGGUUGAACAUGGCGGGAUGGUGACUGACGGUGCCAUGGAUGCCAGCAUGCAACAGCAGGGUGUCCCAAACAGCGGUGUCGGCAUCAACCACCCAGCUUCUAACAUGGUCUAUGCAGUCCAAGGCAGCCAAUGUUGUAAUCGGUGCCUGGCAGGGGAGCCCGGCCACAUUAACCACAUCAUGGGGUAUUGAUCGGUUAUCGUCAUGAUCAGAGAUCGUUUGAAGAACUGAAGGAUCCUUGAGGAUGAAGAGAAUGAUCGAUUGAUUGAGUGCUUGAUCAAGUCAUUGUGUAUGUGGCUGUGAACCGUUUUAUCAGUGUGCCUUGCCUUUUCUAGCUGUUAUUAACCACAAGCACUGUACUGCUUCAUGUAUAGCCUCGCAUGUUUACACUACCUAACACUGGGUAUGGGGGAAAUGGCUACUAACCAGACAGUAGACAUGGUGAUUUCAUACCGUCUUACUAACAUUCUGUUUGAAUGGAAAGAUAACCACUACAGUGUAGUCUACACACAACCAUAAGGAAGGAGCCAUCAAGCCACAAGUAAUACUGAAACUUUACACUGUAAUGUGGAUACUCCUUUAAUGUCAAUGGAUGUAUUAAAUGAAAUAAAAUACGUAUUGUCCCAGUAUCAAGACUGCUUUCUAAAGCUGCCAGAAAAUAUAAAUGUAAAUAGUAAUAUUGAUAAGUUAAAAACUUUUUAAAGUUAUAUAAUUGUUAACCUUUUUUUGAAAUGGAUAAUCCUGUCUGCAAAUAUAUUUUUCUGAAAUAAAUAUUUGAUAUAUUUUUCUAAAAUGUAAUUGGCUGAAUAUAAAAUAAGAAGUUUGUAACCAAUAUUUGUGCUAAUCGUUUCAUUUUGGAUAGUGUCCUGAAUUGUGUUUAAUCUCAUGAACGUUUUCAGCCAGUUUUCAAUAGUUUGAUCUACACUUGAAAUGUAGAGCCGUUUUGACAAGGAUUUGUCUGUUUCCCACUAGAUGUGGUUUUGUGUCGUCUUAGAAUGAUUUGAAGCCAGUUUCCACCUUGCCAAGCAGUGAGUUUUAUAGUUGAUGCUGUUCAAUUUCAGGUUAUGACUCAAUGUAAUAGUUUUAUUUUUAGUACAAGGAAAAACAACUUUCAAUAAAGUAUGAUUUGAUGAACAA